Molecule: non-coding RNA, 91 nt
Filed under: Conticribra weissflogii
Lineage: Eukaryota; Bacillariophyta; Thalassiosirophyceae; Thalassiosirales; Thalassiosiraceae
Source: RNAcentral
CUGUCACAAUUGGCCAGGUUGACAGGUGUCGUACGGGAUGCCAAGGGCGUCAAGCCGGGCCUCUCAAUGGUUGUCCAUGCCGACGCGUUGG